GACGACGCUGGCGGCGUGGAUUAGGCAUGCAAGUCGAACGGUAUCAUCCUUCGGGGGUGAGAGAGUGGCGAACUGGUGAGUAACACGUAGGUUAUCUACCCUCAAGACGGGGACAACCCAGGGAAACUUGGGCUAAUACCGGAUGUGAGCAACUUUUAGUUGUUUGAAAGGUGGCGUAAGCUGUCGCUUGGGGAUGAGCCUGCGUCCUAUUAGUUAGUUGGUGAGGUAACGGCUCACCUAGGCAAUGAUAGGUAGGCGGCCUUAACGGGUGGUCGCCCACACUGGGAUUGAGAUACGGCCCAGACUCCUACGGGAGGCAGCAGUCGAGAAUAGUCUACAAUGGUCGGAAGACUGAUAGUGCGACGCCGCGUGAACGAUGAAUCCCUUCGGGGUGUAAAGUUCUUUUAUAUGUGAGCAGUGCUUCUUAUAUUAACAGUAUGGGGAGAGAGAUAUUAGCAUAUGAAUAAGCAACGGCUAACUCCGUA
RNAcentral lists this ribosomal RNA (485 nucleotides) under uncultured bacterium. RNAcentral's name for it is "bacterial SSU rRNA". It matches the Rfam family "Bacterial small subunit ribosomal RNA", at positions 33 to 507 of the family's 1533-position model. The record is from RNAcentral.